RNAcentral lists this ribosomal RNA (253 nucleotides) under uncultured bacterium. Its description in RNAcentral is "partial 16S ribosomal RNA". It matches the Rfam family "Bacterial small subunit ribosomal RNA", at positions 524 to 776 of the family's 1533-position model. The record is from RNAcentral.
UACGUAGGUGGCAAGCGUUGUUCGGAAUUACUGGGCGUAAAGGGCGCGUAGGCGGCCCGCUAAGUCGAACGUGAAAUCCCCGAGCUCAACUCGGGAACUGCGUCCGAUACUGGCGGGCUUGAAUCCGGGAGAGGGAUGCGGAAUUCCAGGUGUAGCGGUGAAAUGCGUAGAUAUCUGGAGGAACACCGGUGGCGAAGGCGGCAUCCUGGACCGGCAUUGACGCUGAGGCGCGAAAGCUAGGGGAGCAAACGGG